UACGGGGGGAGCUAGCGUUGUUCGGAAUUACUGGGCGUAAAGCGCACGUAGGCGGCUUUGUAAGUUAGAGGUGAAAGCCCGGGGCUCAACUCCGGAACUGCCUUUAAGACUGCAUCGCUUGAAUCCAGGAGAGGUGAGUGGAAUUCCGAGUGUAGAGGUGAAAUUCGUAGAUAUUCGGAAGAACACCAGUGGCGAAGGCGGCUCACUGGACUGGUAUUGACGCUGAGGUGCGAAAGCGUGGGGAGCAAACAGG
RNAcentral lists this ribosomal RNA (253 nucleotides) under uncultured bacterium. RNAcentral describes it as "partial 16S ribosomal RNA". It matches the Rfam family "Bacterial small subunit ribosomal RNA", at positions 524 to 776 of the family's 1533-position model. The record is from RNAcentral.